RNAcentral lists this ribosomal RNA (253 nucleotides) under uncultured bacterium. RNAcentral describes it as "partial 16S ribosomal RNA". It matches the Rfam family "Bacterial small subunit ribosomal RNA", at positions 524 to 776 of the family's 1533-position model. The record is from RNAcentral.
UACGUAGGGGCCGAGCGUUGUCCGGAGUUAUUGGGCGUAAAGCGCGCGCAGGCGGCCUCGCGCGCCCGACGUGAAAGCCCCCGGCUUAACCGGGGAGGGUCGUUGGGGACGGCGGGGCUUGAGGGCGGGAGAGGGUGGUGGAAUUCCCGGUGUAGUGGUGAAAUGCGUAGAGAUCGGGAGGAACACCAGUGGCGAAGGCGGUUGCCUGGAGCUUUGCUGACGCUGAGGCGCGAAAGCGUGGGGAGCGAUCCGG